RNAcentral lists this ribosomal RNA (467 nucleotides) under Pseudomonas brassicacearum subsp. brassicacearum. RNAcentral describes it as "bacterial SSU rRNA". It matches the Rfam family "Bacterial small subunit ribosomal RNA", at positions 59 to 521 of the family's 1533-position model. The record is from RNAcentral. Lineage: Bacteria; Pseudomonadati; Pseudomonadota; Gammaproteobacteria; Pseudomonadales; Pseudomonadaceae.
AAGUCGAGCGGUAGAGAGGUGCUUGCACCUCUUGAGAGCGGCGGACGGGUGAGUAAUGCCUAGGAAUCUGCCUGGUAGUGGGGGAUAACGCUCGGAAACGGACGCUAAUACCGCAUACGUCCUACGGGAGAAAGCAGGGGACCUUCGGGCCUUGCGCUAUCAGAUGAGCCUAGGUCGGAUUAGCUAGUUGGUGGGGUAAUGGCUCACCAAGGCGACGAUCCGUAACUGGUCUGAGAGGAUGAUCAGUCACACUGGAACUGAGACACGGUCCAGACUCCUACGGGAGGCAGCAGUGGGGAAUAUUGGACAAUGGGCGAAAGCCUGAUCCAGCCAUGCCGCGUGUGUGAAGAAGGUCUUCGGAUUGUAAAGCACUUUAAGUUGGGAGGAAGGGCAUUAACCUAAUACGUUAGUGUUUUGACGUUACCGACAGAAUAAGCACCGGCUAACUCUGUGCCAGCCGCCGCGGU